RNAcentral lists this long non-coding RNA (585 nucleotides) under Mus musculus (house mouse). Its description in RNAcentral is "predicted gene, 32067". The record is from RNAcentral. Lineage: Eukaryota; Metazoa; Chordata; Mammalia; Rodentia; Muridae.
UUAUAGGUUAUAGCAUGAAGACAUCUCUUUGAACUGGAAAGCUAUUCCCAUAUGUAAAUUUAAUAUAUAGCAAUGUCUGAAUCUGCAGGAGAUCAGGACUCUUCUCAGCAGACCAAUCAGUCUUAAGCAGCUACGUUAACGAUCAGCAAUUCUAAGAGUGUACUCAGCUUUGAUGGAUUCAAUAAGCUACAUUUGUCUUGGAAAUCUGAGUCAAGGUAGAAACAGAAUUGAUAUUUUUGUUAUUAAUAUUUAUGAUAAAAUGUAGAAAGAUACCUCUCAACGAUAAGGAGAGGAAAUCGCUCAUAAAUUUAGAAAUUGAAACUGCCUCUGUUAACAUUGGAUAAGAUAGUACAUCAUGGAUUUCCUUUCUAGCCAUUUUUGGCUUGGGCCAUCACUUUUCUUGCUGAGUAAUUUUAUUAAAGGCUUUGGAAGAGCUAAGAACAUUUAUCUGAACUCACUGCCUCCUCAUGAGAAUGCCAAAAUUAAAAUUCUAUGAAUGGAAUCCAUGUUUUGUUCUUUGCAAAUUUUCUUUUCAUUAUUUUCUAAGGCUUUGUAGAAAUAUUUUUCUUGGUGCUGCUCAUGGAG